CGGGGCUGGGCGCUGGGUCCCCGGCGCGCGUCGAGGCUGCACCUGGAGCGCGCCGGGCCGCGCCGCCGGCGCGUCCUCUUCGUCCUCGUCCUCGUCCUCCGCGUCCGCGUCCCCUGGGGCGCCGGCCUCGCCGUCCUCGUCGCCCCCAGCGCUCGCGCCCUCGCCGUCCUCGUCCUCGUCCUCCUCCCAGGUCGAGUCGCAGUCCGGGUCGUCCAUGCUCGGGCGGCGGCGGGACCCGCGCUCCGGCGGAAGCGAAAGUGAGCGAAGGAGGAAGCGUGGGGGAGGGCCGGGGGCGGGGCCGGGGCGGGAUCGGGGCGGGGCCGGGGGCGGGGCCGCCGGCGCCGUCCGCCCCGAGAAGGCCCCCCACGCUCCGAGCACAGCCCCUCCCGGAGAACGUCACUCCGGAGGGCGCCCGCCCCCUUCCUCGCUGGGAUUGCCCCCAGGGUGUCCCCCCAGGACCCCCCCUACACGAUAUCCCUUCCCUUUGGGAGAAGACACCUCCCCCAGGAUGCCCUCUGGAGUAUACCGGCUCUACAGGUAUGUCCCUGGGGGAUGCUCGUCCCAGAGAAUCACCCCAGAAUGCCCCUGAGGACAACCUCCCCCCAGAGGAAGACGCCUACCUGCUGGAAACCCCCUCCUCCAGAAUAUCCCUCUUCCCAGAGGAUGUUCUCCUGGAGGAAGUCAACCCACCCCCUGGAGGAUGCCCACAGGAGGAUGUCCGUCCACAGGGCUGACCCCAGGAGCAUAACCCCUGGGAGCUGUCCUCCCCAGAAGGGAGGCCUCCCCCCCAGGAUGCUCCCACGCGGGAUGCCCUCCAGGUGUAGGCUGGGGCUGUGGUCUCACGAGAGGCUCCUUUGGAGAGCAGUCUGCUUCCGCGGUCCCCCAGCCUGUGGGCAGAAGUCAUUCUCGGGUGGUGGGACACGGAUCCUCGUGUCCCUUCACAGACGGUUCACAACUGGGCAGUUUGCUUCCAUAAGGCCAGCAGGAGGGUGUCUUUCAGUGUGCCGGGAGUCGUCUGCACCGUCACCGUGGGCCUGGCCUCUGCCCCUUUGCCACAUCCUAUCAGGGGUAAGUGACCUCCCACAGAUUCCCUUAAUCUGUGCCCUCACAUCUGCUGGUGGCCGCGGGAGUUGCAGCAAAGUUGGAGACCCGCCCCUCAACAUGCAACUUGGGAGUGGCCCGCCCAGGUAGUGUUUGGACUCUGUGACCACCGUGCACCUUCAGUGUCUCACAGCAUUUUCGCUAAAACCAAAGUCUGGCCUUCUGACGGAUCUAGCCAGGAGGGUAACUCCCGGGGUCGACGGGGUAGAGGGUGAAGGCCAAACCCAGCCCCCUGGGGUCGCUGACCUCUCCCAGCCCCGCCAGCGGCCCCUGGGCCUCAGGGCUGCCUGUGACAGCUGAGAGGGAGCACAACCUUCCCACCUUGGCUGUGGGCACAGCUGAGGGCCCUUCUUGAUGCGGGCCGUCCUCAUCCAUUCUCCGGGUACAGUCUCACCUGGCUGGAGCCUGUGUACACACGACCUCACUCUCUAAGAGGACGGAGGUGCCCCCCCCCCCCGGAACGGACAUCUGGGCAUUUCUGUAAAAGGUGUGCCACCGGUGGGCGGGCUAGGUUUCCUGGGCAGCGGGCAGCCGCCGCGCCUCUGGCGGGGGCCGCGGGGGCGGAUUGCCUCCCCCACCCCCUGGGCCUCACCUCCCGCUUGCCUGACUUGCAGGUGGCCCCGCGAGGCCCCGGCCAGGACAUCGGGCAGAUGACACCGGGAGGCCCUGCCGCAGGUGUCCGCGUGUCGGGGGCGGAAUGCAGGGGUUUGGCUGCUCUGAGGGGCACUGCGGUGGGGAGGCUGUGCCUUUCCACGGGCCGAGCGGCAAGCCUCCCCGCCGCUGCCUCCCACCAGGGCCGGGACGACGGACCCUCCCAGACGCUGCCCGAUUUCCGCUCGACAAGGAAGAGUCACCCCGAACCGCACCUCCGGCUGCUUUUGUGCAGUUUGCCUGGGGCUCCGCAGGGCGCGUUAACCCGGGAGCCCAGAUUUCUGCUGCAGAAGAAGUCUUGUGCUGUUUCCUCCCCUCUGCAGCCUGGGGACGCCCGCUGUGGGCUCAGGGCUCUGGACAGCUGGCCGCCCAGGCUGGGGCGGGGCUGAGCGGGGGGGGCAGGACUGGG
RNAcentral lists this long non-coding RNA (2161 nucleotides) under Lynx canadensis (Canada lynx). RNAcentral describes it as "lncRNA (ENSLCNG00005010512.1)". The record is from RNAcentral. Lineage: Eukaryota; Metazoa; Chordata; Mammalia; Carnivora; Felidae.